Molecule: long non-coding RNA, 376 nt
Organism: Oncorhynchus tshawytscha (Chinook salmon)
Lineage: Eukaryota; Metazoa; Chordata; Actinopteri; Salmoniformes; Salmonidae
Source: Ensembl
CUGGACUACAACAUUGUGAAUGCCCAGGUCGCCUUGAAACUACAGUAGUGUGCACCGUCCGUUGCCAUUUAUGGUUUGAGAGGUUAGCUAGGGAGUGACGUUUGUUAGGGAGUGACGUUUGCAGUGCCGAACGAGGUUCAUUGAAGUCUUGGUUGAAGUAUAUUUUCGACCUAGAUUCAUUGAAGUCAGCAACUCCAGUGAGGCGGCGGGGAGACCAAAACACGUUGAAACUGGGAUUAAUCUAUGACGAGCACACUUCUCCAGCAUGCCAGUGGCCAUCGACGGUUAGCAUUUGCCCACUGAAGUCUGUUAUGAUGCUGAACUGCAGUCAGGUCAAGACCCUGACCAUUCCGCAGGUGAAGAAGCCGGAUGCUGA